UACGGAGGAGGCAAGCGUUAUCCGGAAUUAUUGGGCGUAAAGCGUCCGCAGGUGGCGAUUCAAGUCUGCGGUCAAAGACUGGGGCUUAACCCUGGAAAGGCCGUAGAAACUGAAUAGCUAGAGUGCAGUAGGGGUAGAGGGAAUUCCCGGUGUAGCGGUGAAAUGCGUAGAGCUCGGGAAGAACAUCGGUGGCGAAAGCGCUCUGCUGGACUGCAACUGACACUCAGGGACGAAAGCUAGGGGAGCGAAUGGG
This 253-nucleotide ribosomal RNA is filed under the name uncultured bacterium. RNAcentral describes it as "partial 16S ribosomal RNA". It matches the Rfam family "Bacterial small subunit ribosomal RNA", at positions 524 to 776 of the family's 1533-position model. The record is from RNAcentral.